This 654-nucleotide ribosomal RNA is filed under the name uncultured bacterium. RNAcentral describes it as "bacterial SSU rRNA". It matches the Rfam family "Bacterial small subunit ribosomal RNA", at positions 8 to 704 of the family's 1533-position model. The record is from RNAcentral.
AGAGUUUGAUCAUGGCUCAGGCUAAACGCUGGCGGUAUAAGUAACAUAUGCAAGUUUAACGCUCCCUUCACCAGAUGAGGGGCGGACGGGUGAGUAACGCGUGAGAAUCUGCCUUCAGGACUGGGACAACCACUGGAAACGGUGGCUAAUACCAGAUAUGCAGUGAGUGAAAAGGUUUAUUCCGCCUGAAGAUGAGCUCGCGUCAGAUUAGCUAGUUGGUGAGGUAACGGCUUACCAAGGCAUCGAUCUGUAGCUGGUCUGAGAGGAUGACCAGCCACACUGGGACUGAGAGACGGCCCAGACUCCUACGGGAGGCAGCAGUGAGGAAUUUUCCGCAAUGGGCGCAAGCCUGACGGAGUAAUACCGCGUGCGGGAGGAAGGUCUAUUGACUGUAAACCGCUUUUAUUAAGAAAGAAUUCUGACGGUACUUAAUGAAUAAGCCUCGGCUAACUCCGUGCCAGCAGCCGCGGUAAUACGGAGGAGGCAAGCGUUAUCCGGAAUUAUUGGGCGUAAAGCGUCCGUAGGUGGUUUUGCAAGUCGGCUGUCAAAGCCCGUGGCUCAACCACGGAAAGGCAGUGGAAACUAUAAAACUGGAGUGCAGUAGGGGCAGAGGGAAUUCCCAGUGUAGCGGUGAAAUGCGUAGAGAUUGGGAAG